RNAcentral lists this ribosomal RNA (492 nucleotides) under uncultured bacterium. Its description in RNAcentral is "partial 16S ribosomal RNA". It matches the Rfam family "Bacterial small subunit ribosomal RNA", at positions 28 to 507 of the family's 1533-position model. The record is from RNAcentral.
GAUGAACGCUAGCUACAGGCUUAACACAUGCGAGUCGAGGGGAAACGGCAUUGAGUGCUUGCACUCUUUGGACGUCGACCGGCGCACGGGUGAGUAACGCGUAUCCAACCUUCCCAUUACUGUGGGAUAACCUGCCGAAAGGCAGACUAAUACCGCAUAGUCUUCGAUGACGGCAUCAGAUUUGAAGUAAAGAUUUAUCGGUAAUGGAUGGGGAUGCGUCUGAUUAGCUUGUUGGCGGGGUAACGGCCCACCAAGGCUACGAUCAGUAGGGGUUCUGAGAGGAAGGUCCCCCACAUUGGAACUGAGACACGGUCCAAACUCCUACGGGAGGCAGCAGUGAGGAAUAUUGGUCAAUGGACGGAAGUCUGAACCAGCCAAGUAGCGUGCAGGAUGACGGCCCUAUGGGUUGUAAACUGCUUUUGUAUGGGGAUAAAGUUAGGGACGUGUCCCUAUUUGCAGGUACCAUACGAAUAAGGACCGGCUAAUUCCGUG